Molecule: ribosomal RNA, 386 nt
Filed under: uncultured bacterium
Lineage: Bacteria
Description: bacterial SSU rRNA
Rfam family: Bacterial small subunit ribosomal RNA
Source: RNAcentral
AUUGAACGCUGGCGGCAUGCCUUACACAUGCAAGUCGAACGGCAGCACGGGAGCAAUCCUGGUGGCGAGUGGCGAACGGGUGAGUAAUAUAUCGGAACGUGCCCAGUUGUGGGGAUAACGUAGCGAAAGCUACGCUAAUACCGCAUACGAUCUACGGAUGAAAGCGGGGGAUCGCAAGACCUCGCGCGAUUGGAGCGGCCGAUAUCAGAUUAGGUAGUUGGUGAGGUAAAGGCUCACCAAGCCGACGAUCUGUAGCUGGUCUGAGAGGACGACCAGCCACACUGGGACUGAGACACGGCCCAGACUCCUACGGGAGGCAGCAGUGGGGAAUUUUGGACAAUGGGCGCAAGCCUGAUCCAGCAAUGCCGCGUGCAGGAUGAAGGCCU